Molecule: non-coding RNA, 208 nt
Filed under: Homo sapiens (human)
Lineage: Eukaryota; Metazoa; Chordata; Mammalia; Primates; Hominidae
Source: RNAcentral
GUUUCACAGAGGAUUGAAUAUACAGUUAGGAUUAAGAAUCACUGAGAUGAAUGAUUCUAUGCCACUUACAAUAGACAUAAGUAAGGCUAUUAUUAAACCAACUCAUAUAAAUUAUCAUCCAUCCAAGUCUUCAUUUUGCCUAUGUAAGAUAAUUUUUAAUGAUGUCUAAAUGUUUAGAUUGUUUUAAAUUCAGAAAUCAGGGAAAAAU